Molecule: ribosomal RNA, 253 nt
Filed under: uncultured bacterium
Lineage: Bacteria
Description: partial 16S ribosomal RNA
Rfam family: Bacterial small subunit ribosomal RNA
Source: RNAcentral
UACGAAGGGGGCUAGCGUUGCUCGGAAUCACUGGGCGUAAAGCGCACGUAGGCGGCUUGUUAAGUCAGGGGUGAAAUCCUGGAGCUCAACUCCAGAACUGCCUUUGAUACUGGCGAUCUUGAGCCCGGGAGAGGUGAGUGGAACUGCGAGUGUAGAGGUGAAAUUCGUAGAUAUUCGGAAGAACACCAGUGGCGAAGGCGGCUCACUGGCCCGGUACUGACGCUGAGGUGCGAAAGCGUGGGGAGCAAACAGG